Molecule: long non-coding RNA, 1017 nt
Filed under: Rattus norvegicus (Norway rat)
Lineage: Eukaryota; Metazoa; Chordata; Mammalia; Rodentia; Muridae
Description: long non-coding RNA NONRATT030551
Source: RNAcentral
UCCAUGAUGUGCCCAGGCUAGAUGAAGUGCAGAAUGAGAGAUGUGCUCCUCAACCAAAAUAUACCAAACUUAGCUACAUUCACUCAAGCUUCCUCUUGACUCCCCUAACCUUUCCACCUAGGAAUAUAUAUCCACUUUAGUCCCCACUAGGGAUGAUGUGGGUAUAUGCUGACAGGAAAAGUCAUCCAUGGAAGUAUAGGGAGAUAGUUGAACUCUCCAGAGGAGCUAGAGUCCAGACUGUGAGGUCAGAGCUAAAUUCAACCCCACAACUGUCUCUUGGGUUCACACUACUCCCCCCAAAGUGAAAAUUUCUUUGGGGGCCUUGGUCACCAAUAGUUAUCCAGACUUCAAGGCACUGUGGAUUUGAAUCCAUUCCUGCUUGACCUCUUCUUUUUGUCCCUUCCUAACUUCACAGUCCUUGAGCCCCUCCUUGGUUGGGCCCCAAGCAUCGUUCCCAGAAGUUUUUCUUUCUCCAUCCACUCCUACCAAUGUCCAAAGUGGAGCAGACUACACCCAAAUUGCAAAGCUGGAAGGUCUCAAGCCUUUUCUCCAUGGACAGAGACCAACUUCAAGGCCAGUUCUAUAGACUGGUGAACCAAGUUGGAAUUCUUUGCCUAAGUUUGGGACAGUGGUGUCUCCAUCCCUUUUCCUUCCUUAUAAGCUCCUGUCAGAAACUCCACCUCUACCCCAAGAUAGGCACUGAACUGAGGAAGUCUUGACCCAAAAGCAAUGAAGGGGGCACUCUAGGCAGAAGAGAUAUUGUGACCCUGGUUGUGGAGUGGCCCUGGAAAAGCGAGCCAGAGGAGCUAAGAGGCUGGGAACAUGUGUUUGGGGUGGGGCUAUUCUCUCAGUGAUGAUGAUAGGAAUGCCUUUCUGAGGGCUGGGGUGCAAAGACCAAGGUGGGAGGGCAAAUAGGGUAGACUCGGGAGGGUUUUCCUCCAUUUCCCUUUUCUAACUGCCUGGAUUCAUCAUUGGAUUUUGUAAAUGGAAAAAGUGAAAUGAACAAUGUUAUAUUGG